This 647-nucleotide ribosomal RNA is filed under the name Eutonina indicans. RNAcentral describes it as "eukaryotic LSU rRNA". It matches the Rfam family "Eukaryotic large subunit ribosomal RNA", at positions 651 to 1289 of the family's 3401-position model. Lineage: Eukaryota; Metazoa; Cnidaria; Hydrozoa; Leptothecata; Eirenidae. The record is from RNAcentral.
GUCUUGAAACACGGACCAAGGAGUCUGACAUGUGUGCGAGUCUUCGGGUGAUAGAAACCCUCGGCAGAAUGAAAGUGAAUGGUUUAGGUGAGAUCUGUGCCGUCCCGGUGCAGCGCAUCAUUGACCGACCUAUUCUACUCUUAGAAAGGUUUGAGAGAGCAUAUAUGUCGGGACCCGAAAGAUGGUGAACUAUGCUUGAGUAGGGUGAAGCCAGAGGAAACUCUGGUGGAGGCUCGUAGCGAUUCUGACGUGCAAAUCGAUCGUCAAACUUGAGGAUAGGGGCGAAAGACUAAUCGAACCAUCUAGUAGCUGGUUCCCUCCGAAGUUUCCCUUAGGAUAGCUGGAACUUUUUACAGUUUCAUCCGGUAAAGCGAAUGAUUAGAGGUCUUGGGGUUGAAACAACCUCAACCUAUUCUCAAACUUUCAAUGGGUGAGAAGCCUGACUUGCUUGAUUGAAGCCAGGCACUGAAUGGACGAGUUCUUAGUGGGCCAUUUUUGGUAAGCAGAACUGGCGAUGCGGGAUGAACCGAACGUGUAGUUAAGGCGCCUAAAUCGACGCUCAUCAGACCCCACAAAAGGUGUUGGUUGAUCCAGACAGCAGGACGGUGGCCAUGGAAGUCGGAAUCCGCUAAGGAGUGUGUAACAAC